CUCAGAACAAACGCUGGCGGCGUGCCUAACACAUGCCAGUCGUACGAGAAAGUCCGCUUCGGUGGAUGAGUAAAGUGGCGCACGGGUGAGUAACGCGUGGAUAAUCUACCCUUUAGUCUGGAAUAACUUAUCGAAAGGUGAACUAAUACCGGAUAAUAUCCCGAUUUCUUCGGCGAUCGGGAUCAAAGAAGGCCUCUGCUUGCAAGCUUUCACUGAAGGAUGAGUCCGCGUACCAUUAGCUAGUUGGCAGGGUAAUGGCCUACCAAGGUUAUGAUGGUUAGCUGGUCUGAGAGGAUGAUCAGCCACACUGGAACUGAAACACGGUCCAGACUCCUACGGGAGGCAGCAGUGAGGAAUAUUGCGCAAUGGGGGCAACCCUGACGCAGCAACGCCGCGUGAGUGAGGAAGGUUUUCGGAUUGUAAAGCUCUGUCGAGCGGAAAGAAGUGCAUGGUGGUUAAUAUCCAUCAUGCUUGACGGUACCGCUAAAGGAAGCACCGGCUAACUCCGUGCCAGCAGCCGCGGUAAUACGGGGGGUGCAAGCGUUGUUCGGAAUCAUUGGGCGUAAAGCGCGUGUAGGCGGCUGGACAAGUCAGAUGUGAAAGCCCUGGGCUUAACCCAGGAAGUGCAUUUGAAACUGUUCAGCUAGAGUAAGGGAGAGGAAAGUGGAAUUCCUGGUGUAGAGGUGAAAUUCGUAGAUAUCAGGAGGAACACCGGUGGCGAAGGCGACUUUCUGGCCCUAUACUGACGCUGAGACGCGAAAGCGUGGGUAGCAAACAG
This 778-nucleotide ribosomal RNA is filed under the name uncultured bacterium. Its description in RNAcentral is "bacterial SSU rRNA". It matches the Rfam family "Bacterial small subunit ribosomal RNA", at positions 23 to 775 of the family's 1533-position model. The record is from RNAcentral.